UGCGGAAGAAAAUCAUAUGAAGGUUAUGAAUAUACUAAAUUCGAUAGUUGGAGAGGAUUAUAAUUGUAUAAACAAAAAAGAUGAUGGAGUUAAGACACCAGAAAAAGCAUCGAAAAUGCUAGAGCCUGAUGACAUUCGACCUUUUGGU
Gordionus sp. m RMFG-2023 is the source of this 148-nucleotide long non-coding RNA. RefSeq lists it as uncharacterized. Lineage: Eukaryota; Metazoa; Nematomorpha; Gordioida; Chordodea; Parachordodidae. The record is from RefSeq and is a predicted model, not a curated record. The transcript has 3 exons.